This 744-nucleotide ribosomal RNA is filed under the name uncultured Streptococcus sp. RNAcentral describes it as "bacterial SSU rRNA". It matches the Rfam family "Bacterial small subunit ribosomal RNA", at positions 38 to 771 of the family's 1533-position model. The record is from RNAcentral. Lineage: Bacteria; Bacillati; Bacillota; Bacilli; Lactobacillales; Streptococcaceae.
GAUGGGGUGCCUAAUACAUGCAAGUAGAACGCUGAAGCUUGGUGCUUGCACCGAGCGGAUGAGUUGCGAACGGGUGAGUAACGCGUAGGUAACCUGCCUGGUAGCGGGGGAUAACUAUUGGAAACGAUAGCUAAUACCGCAUAACAGUAGAUAUCGCAUGAUAUGUGCUUGAAAGGUGCAAAUGCAUCACUACCAGAUGGACCUGCGUUGUAUUAGCUAGUUGGUGAGGUAACGGUAAGGCAACGAUACAUAGCCGACCUGAGAGGGUGAUCGGCCACACUGGGACUGAGACACGGCCCAGACUCCUACGGGAGGCAGCAGUAGGGAAUCUUCGGCAAUGGACGGAAGUCUGACCGAGCAACGCCGCGUGAGUGAAGAAGGUUUUCGGAUCGUAAAGCUCUGUUGUAAGAGAAGAACGAGUGUGAGAGUGGAAAGUUCACACUGUGACGGUAUCUUACCAGAAAGGGACGGCUAACUACGUGCCAGCAGCCCGCGGUAAUACGUAGGUCCCGAGCGUUGUCCGGAUUUAUUGGGCGUAAAGCGAGCGCAGGCGGUUAGAUAAGUCUGAAGUUAAAGGCUGUGGCUUAACCAUAGUACGCUUUGGAAACUGUUUAACUUGAGUGCAAGANGGGAGAGUGGAAUUCCAUGUGUAGCGGUGAAAUGCGUAGAUAUAUGGAGGAACACCGUGGCGAAAGCGGCUCUCUGCUUGUAACUGACCCUGAGGCUCGAAAGCGUGGGGAGCAA